AACGAACGCUGGCGGCAGGCCUAACACAUGCAAGUCGAACGCUCGUAGCAAUACGAGAGUGGCAGACGGGUGAGUAACACGUGGGAACCUUCCCUAUGGUUCGGAAUAGCUCAGGGAAACUUGGGGUAAUACCGGAUAAGCCCUUCGGGGAAGAUUUAUCGCCAUUGGAUGGGCCCGCGUCGGAUUAGCUAGUUGGUGAGGUAACGGCUCACCAAGGCAACGAUCCGUAGCUGGUCUGAGAGGAUGAUCAGCCACACUGGGACUGAGACACGGCCCAGACUCCUACGGGAGGCAGCAGUGGGGAAUAUUGGACAAUGGGCGCAAGCCUGAUCCAGCCAUGCCGCGUGAGUGACGAAGGUCUUCGAUUGUAAACUCUUUUGGCGGGACGAUAAUGACGUACCCGCAGAAUAAGCCCCGGCUAACUUCGUGCCA
This 432-nucleotide ribosomal RNA is filed under the name uncultured bacterium. RNAcentral describes it as "bacterial SSU rRNA". It matches the Rfam family "Bacterial small subunit ribosomal RNA", at positions 29 to 510 of the family's 1533-position model. The record is from RNAcentral.